Molecule: ribosomal RNA, 497 nt
Filed under: uncultured bacterium
Lineage: Bacteria
Description: partial 16S ribosomal RNA
Rfam family: Bacterial small subunit ribosomal RNA
Source: RNAcentral
GAUGAACGCUGGCGGCGUGCCUAAUACAUGCAAGUCGAGCGAACAGACGAGGAGCUUGCUCCUCUGACGUUAGCGGCGGACGGGUGAGUAACACGUGGAUAACCUACCUAUAAGACUGGGAUAACUUCGGGAAACCGGAGCUAAUACCGGAUAAUAUAUUGAACCGCAUGGUUCAAAAGUGAAAGACGGUUUUGCUGUCACUUAUAGAUGGAUCCGUGCCGCAUUAGCUAGUUGGUAAGGUAACGGCUUACCAAGGCGACGAUGCGUAGCCGACCUGAGAGGGUGAUCGGCCACACUGGAACUGAGACACGGUCCAGACUCCUACGGGAGGCAGCAGUAGGGAAUCUUCCGCAAUGGGCGAAAGCCUGACGGAGCAACGCCGCGUGAGUGAUGAAGGUCUUCGGAUCGUAAAACUCUGUUAUUAGGGAAGAACAAAUGUGUAAGUAACUAUGCACGUCUUGACGGUACCUAAUCAGAAAGCCACGGCUAACUACGUG